AACGCUGGCGGCGUGCCUAACACAUGCAAGUCGAACGAAGCACUUCUGAAUGGAGAUUCGUCAAAGUUCAGAUUUGACUUAGUGGCGGACGGGUGAGUAAUGCAUGAGCAACCUGCCCUGCAGUGGGGGACAACAGUUGGAAACGACUGCUAAUACCGCAUGAUGUAUCUGGAAGGCAUCUUCCGGAUACCAAAGAUUUAUCGCUGUGGGAUGGGCUCAUGUCUGAUUAGUUAGUUGGUGGGGUAACGGCCUACCAAGACUGCGAUCAGUAGCCGGACUGAGAGGUUGAACGGCCACAUUGGGACUGAGAUACGGCCCAGACUCCUACGGGAGGCAGCAGUGGGGAAUAUUGGGCAAUGGGCGAAAGCCUGACCCAGCAACGCCGCGUGAAGGAAGAAGGUCUUCGGAUUGUAAACUUCUUUUAUGAGGGACGAAGGAAGUGACGGUACCUCAUGAAUAAGCCACGGCUAACUACGUG
RNAcentral lists this ribosomal RNA (478 nucleotides) under uncultured bacterium. Its description in RNAcentral is "bacterial SSU rRNA". It matches the Rfam family "Bacterial small subunit ribosomal RNA", at positions 32 to 507 of the family's 1533-position model. The record is from RNAcentral.